GAUGAAGAACGUAGCGAAAUGCGAUAAGUAGUGUGAAUUGCAGAAUUCAGUGAAUCAUCGAAUCUUUGAACGCACAUUGCGCCCUUUGGUAUUCCAAAGGGCAUGCCUGUUCGAGCGUCAUUUGUACCCUCAAGCUUUGCUUGGUGUUGGGCGUCUUGUCUCUAGCUUUGCUGGAGACUCGCCUUAAAGUAAUUGGCAGCCGGCCUACUGGUUUCGGAGCGCAGCACAAGUCGCACUCUCUAUCAGCAAAGGUCUAGCAUCCAUUAAGCCUUUUUUUUCAACUUUUGACCUCGGAUCAGGUAUGGAUACCCGCUGAACUUAAGCAUAUCAAUAAGCGGAGGA
Molecule: unclassified non-coding RNA, 342 nt
Filed under: soil metagenome
Description: partial contains 5.8S ribosomal RNA, internal transcribed spacer 2, and large subunit ribosomal RNA
Rfam family: 5.8S ribosomal RNA (bases 1-120)
Source: RNAcentral